GCCCAAGGGUCUGGGAUAACCCCGGGAAACUGGGGAUAAUACCGGAUGGAUCACUAGUGCUGGAAUGCUUGGUGGUUUAAAGGCAACGCCUUUGGAUGGGUCUGCGGCGGAUUAGGUUGACGCCGGUGUAACGUACCGGCGUGCCUGUAAUCCGUACGGGUUGUGGGAGCAAGAGCCCGGAGAUGGAUUCUGAGACACGAAUCCAGGCCCUACGGGGCGCAGCAGGCGCGAAAACUCUACAAUGCAGGCAACUGCGAUAGGGGGACAUCGAGUGGCAUCCACCUUGGGUGCCUGUCCAACCGUCUAAAAAACGGUUGUUAGCAAGGGCCGGGUAAGACCGGUGCCAGCCGCCGCGGUAAUACCGGCGGCUCGAGUGGUGGCCGAUAUUAUUGAGUCUAAAGGGUCCGUAGCCGGCUUUGCAAGUCCCCUGGGAAAUCCAGCGGCUUAACCGUUGGGCUUUCAUGGGAUACUACAUUGCUUGGGACUGGGAGAGGUAGGAGGUACUCGGGGGGUAGGGGUGAAAUCCUGUAAUCCUCCGGGGACCACCGGUGGCGAAGGCGUCCUACCAGAACAGGUCCGACGGUGAGGGACGAAAGCUAGGGGCACGAACCGGAUUAGAUACCCGGGUAGUCCUAGCCGUAAACGAUGCCCGCUAGGUGUCACGACGGUCGUGAAUCGUCGUGGUGCCGUAGGGAAGCCGCGAAGCGGGCCACUUGGAAGUACGGCCGCAAGGCUGAAACU
This 741-nucleotide ribosomal RNA is filed under the name uncultured archaeon. RNAcentral's name for it is "bacterial SSU rRNA". It matches the Rfam family "Archaeal small subunit ribosomal RNA", at positions 111 to 856 of the family's 1478-position model. The record is from RNAcentral.